AUGGCGAUGCGUUUCCAGCGGCCGUGGCAGUAUCGCUUUCCGCCCUUCUUUACAGCCAAACGUGGACCCUCGGCCGAAGCAGCUGGCCGCCUGGUGCUCGCUCGUCCUGUCCCUUUGCCACCUGCACAAAAAGUCCAGCAGGACGGUGAUGGAAGCGCAGGAGAGCCCACUCUUCAACAACGUCAAGCUACAGCGGAAGCUUCCUGUGGGGUCAAUUCAGAUUGUAUUAGAGAAACUGAGGAUAAAAGGGAACCUCGAGUGGUUGGCUAAGAACAAGUCUAGCUUCCUGAUCAUGCGGCUGAGGCCAGAAGAAUGGGGGAAACUCAUUUAUCAGUGGGUUUCUAGGAGUGGCCAGAAGAACUCAGUGUUUACCUUGUAUGAACUAACCAAUGGAGAAGACACAGAGGAAGAGGAGUUCCAUGGGCUGGGUGAGGCGACCUUACUGAGAGCUCUGCAGGCCCCACAGCAGGAACAUAAGGCUGAGAUCAUCACCAUCAGCGAUGGCCGAGGUAUGAAGUUCUUCUAG
RNA transcript from Dipodomys ordii (Ord's kangaroo rat), 526 nucleotides. It is a transcript of the gene named vacuolar protein-sorting-associated protein 25-like, with no coding region annotated. Lineage: Eukaryota; Metazoa; Chordata; Mammalia; Rodentia; Heteromyidae. The transcript has 2 exons. The record is from RefSeq and is a predicted model, not a curated record.